RNAcentral lists this long non-coding RNA (202 nucleotides) under Elaeis guineensis (African oil palm). RNAcentral's name for it is "long non-coding RNA (EGUI_LNC054410)". The record is from RNAcentral. Lineage: Eukaryota; Viridiplantae; Streptophyta; Magnoliopsida; Arecales; Arecaceae.
CUAGUUCUGAAUCUCUCAAACCCAAUGGCAUUCACUAUUUUGCUCAAAUAAUUUUUUACAAAUGCAUCACACUAUGCAAAUGACAAAAAUUAAAUCCAAACGAUAAUCAUCGAGAUUAGGUGCUCAUAGCCUCAGUGCAACUUUUGCACAAUUGUUGACUCAAAAGAGUCGCUUCACCUUCCCUCGAUCCUCUUCCUUCCUU